CUUGCAGAUGGGCAUCUGCACAAGAUGGAGCCAGAGUUAAAAACACGCCUAUCCUUAGCCCUUUGAGAGGUCUCCAUGCUACACACAGAAAAGAUAUGUCAGAAAAUACCUGUAACAAUUCUUGCUCAUAAGGGACACUGCUAGAUACCCGACAUACACCUGCCCUCACCCCACCGUUUCAUACCUCUUGACUGAUUUUCUUGCCUUCCUGCAGGUGCUGGCAUUGGACCUGAAGUUUUUAACACAUGCCGAGGGAAAUGGCAGCCCCAUGAGCAAGCAGGUGCUGGCAUUGGACCUGAAGUUUUCAAUACACGCCUAGGGAAAUGGCUGGCCCAUGAGCAAGGAGGUGAACAGGGCUAUGCAAGGGAGGGCAGCACAGGGAUGCAGGGCACUUGGCUGCUCCUUCAUUCCUUCCCAUCUGCCUUGCAGAUGGGCAUCUUCAGAGACAGAUCCUGAAUAAGAAGGAAACACGCCUAUGCUCAACCCUUUGAGAGGUCUCCAUGCUCCACACAGAAAAGGUGCUGGCAUUGGACCUGAAAUUUUCAAAACACGCCGAGGGAAAUGGCUGGCCCAUGAGCAAGCAGGUGCUGGCAUUGGACCUGAAGUUUUCAACACACGACGAGGGAAAUGGCAGCCACAUGAGCAAGCAGGUGCUGGCAUUGGACCUGAAGUUUUCAACACACGCCGAGGGAAAUGGCUGGCACAUGAGCAAGCAGGUGCUGGCAUUGGAUCAGAAUUUUUCAACACACGACGAGGGAAAUGGCUGGCACAUCAGAAGCAGGUGAGCAGGGCCACGCAGGGGAGGGCAGCACAGGGAAGCACGGCACAUGGCUUCUUCUGCAUUCCUUCCCAUCUGCCUUGCAGAUGCCUAUCUGCACACGAUGUAACCUAA
This 892-nucleotide long non-coding RNA is filed under the name Phasianus colchicus (ring-necked pheasant). Its description in RNAcentral is "lncRNA (ENSPCLG00000004237.1)". Lineage: Eukaryota; Metazoa; Chordata; Aves; Galliformes; Phasianidae. The record is from RNAcentral.